GAUGAACGCUGGCGGCGUGCCUAAUACAUGCAAGUCGAGCGAACAGACGAGGAGCUUGCUCCUCUGACGUUAGCGGCGGACGGGUGAGUAACACGUGGAUAACCUACCUAUAAGACUGGGAUAACUUCGGGAAACCGGAGCUAAUACCGGAUAAUAUAUUGAACCGCAUGGUUCAAUAGUGAAAGACGGUUUUGCUGUCACUUAUAGAUGGAUCCGCGCCGCAUUAGCUAGUUGGUAAGGUAACGGCUUACCAAGGCAACGAUGCGUAGCCGACCUGAGAGGGUGGUCGGCCACACUGGAACGGAGACGCGGUCCAGACGCCUACGGGAGGCAGCAGUAGGGAAUCGUCCGCAAUGGGCGAAAGCCUGACGGAGCAACGCCGCGUGAGUGAUGAAGGUCUUCGGAUCGUAAAACUCUGUUAUUAGGGAAGAACAAAUGUGUAAGUAACUAUGCACGUCUUGACGGUACCUAAUCAGAAAGCCACGGCUAACUACGUG
RNAcentral lists this ribosomal RNA (497 nucleotides) under uncultured bacterium. RNAcentral's name for it is "partial 16S ribosomal RNA". It matches the Rfam family "Bacterial small subunit ribosomal RNA", at positions 28 to 507 of the family's 1533-position model. The record is from RNAcentral.